UACUUCAUUGUUAUAUAUUUUAACAGCUAUUAUAUUUGUUUCUUAAUGUAUGUAAGCUAAUUUUGUCUAGAAAAAGAAUCAAUUGCCAUAAAGGGUCGGCAGUGAUGCAAAAGUGGGUGGGGAAGGUCAAAAACUAAAACGUUUAAAAAGUCCAUGUUUUAUAUAGUUUUGAGGAACGAUCUUUUAGGGGUGUGAAACAUAUAUUAUUGGCAACAUGUUUUGGGGUAGUAAGGAGUUAACAAUUUUUACAAUAAAAGAUUAAUUAAUAUUUUGGAUCAAAAAAACUUUCACAUUUAUUCAAAAAAGUCUCUUGACAUUGCUUAUCACUUUGUUUUGUUUUUUUUAUGUCAAAAUGCCCCAGACUACCUAUUCAACAACGUUGUGAGUUCUUUAUUAUAUUUUGUCAAAUAAAUAACCACUAUGCAAGCAAAUUAUAGUUUAGUGUCUGAAAUGAUGUUUCAUAUAUUUUAGCCGGCCUAAAGGAGCUAACAAAGAUAUCAUCAGUCCACAAAGGAAUCAACCAGUGAAGGAGAAAAACAUUCAAAGCUGUAAAUUGCCAAAUCCAUCACCGGACUUAAGGAGCUAACAAAGAAAUCAUCAGUCCACAAAAGAAUCAACCAGUGAAGGAGAAAAACAUUCAAAGCUGUAAAUUGCCAAAUCCAUCAGUUGGAAGAUGGAUGUCAAAGUCUCAGACAAAAGCUUCCAGAGUUAAGAAAAGAUCACUUCAACAAAAACAAGCACGAGAAGAAUGACUGCAAAAAAUAUUUUCGCAGAUGCGUUUCCUCAUCAAGUGUAUAAGGAAAACGGACCUGUCUACAGAGACUAGAUGUAAAUGUCAAGGACUGAAAUGAGCAAUUCAAUGGCUCAUUUCUAAUUGUGUUAAGUGUCAUAAAAAAUUAAAACUGUUCUAAAUGGACAUGUAGUAAUGAUGAAAUUAUCAUCCUGUUGGGAAUAACAUUUACUUAUUCAUGAACUUAGUUCAUGAAUGACAUUUUGAAAAAAUCAUGUUCAUUAACUGUCAAGUUCAUUUACUAAGUGGGAGUUCAUGAACAUGAUUUGUCCAAAUUGUCAUUCUUGAAUAGUUCAUGUUAUUCUCAAAAAGCACACGCUUGACGUCACUGACAUGGAUAUUAAUUUGAUGGACUAAAGAAGCUCCAUACAUGGAAAAUGACAAAUGCGAAUCAAUUAAUACGCUGUCUAGAAUAAAAAAUAACUGUAUAACUAAUUUUAUCAGUAAAUACAAAACUGUGAGUCUAGCCCGCUGAUGCCAAAAAUUAAGUCAUUAAUAACUAUGCAUUUAAACUCCAGAAUGACCUUUAUGAACCAUUAAUGUACAGGUGAUAUUUAUUGUUUCUUAAAUACAAUAACUUAUAAACUGUGUUAGUUUGAAUUUUUUAUCCAUGUUUUCAUGCACAUUGGUUAAAAGUACAUGUUUGAAAAAUAUAAUGAUAUAAUUAAAGAGAGAUAACUGUUUUACUUGCGUUUAUGCUGUAAGAGCGUAGAAGGGCAUGUGAGUGAAUUUCAUAAAGCAUGUUAGAGCAUCUUGGGUCAUUUGCUUGCUUACCCUACUGCAUUCAUACAGCAUAAAAGCAGUAAAAUGUGAGCAUUACUUAUAAUUUUAAUACAUAAUAAAAAAAUGUUCAUUUCGGUUAAACAG
Mya arenaria is the source of this 1657-nucleotide long non-coding RNA. RefSeq lists it as uncharacterized. The transcript has 3 exons. Lineage: Eukaryota; Metazoa; Mollusca; Bivalvia; Myida; Myidae. The record is from RefSeq and is a predicted model, not a curated record.